UGGGGAAUAUUGCGCAAUGGGCGAAAGCCUGACGCAGCGACGCCGCGUGAGGGAUGAAGGUUUUCGGAUCGUAAACCUCUGUCAGAAGGGAAGAAACCGCACUGUGCUAAUCAGCAGUGCCUUGACGGUACCUUCAAAGGAAGCACCGGCUAACUCCGUGCCAGCAGCCGCGGUAAUACGGAGGGUGCAAGCGUUAAUCGGAAUUACUGGGCGUAAAGCGCACGUAGGCUGCUUUGUAAGUCAGGGGUGAAAUCCCACGGCUCAACCGUGGAACUGCCUUUGAUACUGCUUAGCUUGAAUCCGGGAGAGGGUGGCGGAAUUCCAGGUGUAGGAGUGAAAUCCGUAGAUAUCUGGAGGAACAUCAGUGGAGAAGGCGGCCACCUGGACCGGUAUUGACGAUGAGGUGCGAAAGCGUGGGGAGCAAACAGG
This 429-nucleotide ribosomal RNA is filed under the name Fusobacteriota bacterium. RNAcentral's name for it is "Fusobacteria bacterium partial 16S ribosomal RNA". It matches the Rfam family "Bacterial small subunit ribosomal RNA", at positions 355 to 776 of the family's 1533-position model. Lineage: Bacteria; Fusobacteriati; Fusobacteriota. The record is from RNAcentral.